UACAGUGAUCGCCGCCGUGGUGCUCGGGAAGCCGGUGUAAAGCCGGCGCGGCCCUCGCCACUGUGAACGGGACUGCCGUCGGCCCUCGUCGCGCGUCGAGGUCACUGGGUGCUUCUCGCCCGGGAAGGCCGGCCGCCGGCGCACCAUCCCGUCAGCCAGGAGACCGGCCACGGCACGCUUCGACCC
This 186-nucleotide non-coding RNA is filed under the name Actinoplanes missouriensis. RNAcentral also lists the same sequence under 1 other name. Lineage: Bacteria; Bacillati; Actinomycetota; Actinomycetes; Micromonosporales; Micromonosporaceae. The record is from RNAcentral.